Molecule: ribosomal RNA, 93 nt
Filed under: Staphylococcus auricularis
Lineage: Bacteria; Bacillati; Bacillota; Bacilli; Caryophanales; Staphylococcaceae
Source: RNAcentral
UCACACCUGUUCCCAUGCCGAACACAGAAGUUAAGCUCCUUAGCGCCCAUGGUAGUCGGACUUACGUUCCGCGAGAGUAGGACGUUGCCAGGC